Non-coding RNA from Nematostella vectensis (starlet sea anemone), 73 nucleotides. The record is from Rfam. NCBI's taxonomy places the organism in Eukaryota, Metazoa, Cnidaria, Anthozoa, Actiniaria, Edwardsiidae.
CCCUCUGUAGCUCAGUGGUUAGAGCACUGGUAUCGUAAAGCAGGGGUCGAGAGUUCUACUCUCUCCAGAGGCU